AGGCCAUAUCACUUCGAAAAAUCGUUUCUCGUAUGAUCACCGGAGUUAAGCAACGUCGAGUCUGGUCAGAACCUAAAUGGGUGACCGCAUGGGAAUGGCAGGUGUUGUAAG
This is a non-coding RNA of Acanthosepion pharaonis, 111 nucleotides long. The record is from the annotation of a GenBank genome assembly. Lineage: Eukaryota; Metazoa; Mollusca; Cephalopoda; Sepiida; Sepiidae.